GACGAACGCUGGCGGCGUGCUUGACACAUGCAAGUCGAACGGAAAGGCCCUGCUUUUGUGGGGUGCUCGAGUGGCGAACGGGUGAGUAACACGUGAGUAACCUGCCCUUGACUUUGGGAUAACUUCAGGAAGCUGGGGCUAAUACCGGAUAGGAGCUCCUGCUGCAUGGUGGGGGUUGGAAAGUUUCGGCGGUUGGGGAUGGACUCGCGGCUUAUCAGCUUGUUGGUGGGGUAGUGGCUUACCAAGGCUUUGACGGGUAGCCGGCCUGAGAGGGUGACCGGCCACAUUGGGACUGAGAUACGGCCCAGACUCCUACGGGAGGCAGCAGUGGGGAAUAUUGCACAAUGGGCGGAAGCCUGAUGCAGCAACGCCGCGUGCGGGAUGACGGCCUUCGGGUUGUAAACCGCUUUCGCCUGUGACGAAGCGUGAGUGACGGUAAUGGGUAAAGAAGCACCGGCUAACUACGUG
This 468-nucleotide ribosomal RNA is filed under the name uncultured bacterium. Its description in RNAcentral is "partial 16S ribosomal RNA". It matches the Rfam family "Bacterial small subunit ribosomal RNA", at positions 28 to 507 of the family's 1533-position model. The record is from RNAcentral.